RNAcentral lists this ribosomal RNA (840 nucleotides) under Triticum aestivum (bread wheat). Its description in RNAcentral is "partial small subunit ribosomal RNA". The record is from RNAcentral. Lineage: Eukaryota; Viridiplantae; Streptophyta; Magnoliopsida; Poales; Poaceae.
AUGCUGUUUGAGCAUACAGGUCUGUUCUGCGUGCACAUAAUUGCAAUGCUCGAGCACCUGAGAGUGAAGAGUGUACCUAAUAUCUACAUCCUAAAGAGGUACACUACGAGAGCGAAGGCAAGGGAAACAUUUGAUAGGAGAGACUACAAGACUGAAUCAUUUGACGGGUCUUCGUUCUUGCAUCAACAAAAUGAACUUCUCCAAAUAGCUUUGAAAAUUGUGAGAAUAGGAGGCAAGUCAGACGACCAGCAUGUAACAGCAAAAGCUGGCCUGCUAGAAGUGUUAAACAGGGUUGAAGCUGUGGGUUCGUCAAUAGUAGCUGAUGAUGAUGAUGGUGAUGCAUGCACUCCACCAGAUAUAAACCAGUUUGAGCCUGACUUAUCAAUAGAGAUGCCGAGAACAUCGCAUGAUGAUGAUGACAUGCCUAGUACUGGAUGCAAUGCUCAAUCUGUAACUAAGGCUAUCUUACCUCCACCAAUAUCAAAAACUAAGGGCAGCAGGUAUAAGAACACAGCUGAAUCGAGACCAUCGGUGGCUGGAAAGAAAAUGAAGCUGGAAGAAGCAGUCCUAAAAACAGAUGACAAAACUGAAACAGGGAAGAGGAAAUGUGGUGUGUGCGGCGAGAUUGGGUCAGGGCACAAUGCUAGGUCGUGUCCAACAAAAUUUCCCAAAGAUGAAAAGAAACAAUUGAAUAAACAAAGUAAAAGGAUAUGCCAGGGAUGCAAGCACAUUGGGUCAGGGCACAACAUUCUAAGCUGUCCAGUGACCAAAGCUGCUUUGGAUAUAGCAAAGAAAAUAAAUCAGAAAUCUAAGAAGAAGAAUAAUAUGUCCACUGCAUAA